This 497-nucleotide ribosomal RNA is filed under the name uncultured bacterium. Its description in RNAcentral is "partial 16S ribosomal RNA". It matches the Rfam family "Bacterial small subunit ribosomal RNA", at positions 28 to 507 of the family's 1533-position model. The record is from RNAcentral.
GAUGAACGCUGGCGGCGUGCCUAAUACAUGCAAGUCGAGCGAACAGAUAAGGAGCUUGCUCCUUUGACGUUAGCGGCGGACGGGUGAGUAACACGUGGGUAACCUACCUAUAAGACUGGGAUAACUUCGGGAAACCGGAGCUAAUACCGGAUAACAUUUGGAACCGCAUGGUUCUAAAGUGAAAGAUGGUUUUGCUAUCACUUAUAGAUGGACCCGCGCCUUAUUAGCUAGUUGGUAAGGUAACGGCUUACCAAGGCGACGUUCCGUAGCCGCCCUGAGAGGGUGUUCGCCCACACUGGAACUGGACCACGCCCCAACCUCCUACGGAGGGCACCAGAAGGGAAUCUUCCGCAAUGGGGGAAAGCCUAACGGGGCAACCCCGCGUGAGUGAUGAAGGGUUUCGGUUCGUAAAACUCGGUUAUUAGGGAGAAACAAAUUUGUAGGUAACUGUGCACGUCUUGACGGUACCUAAUCAGAAAGCCACGGCCAACUACGUG